CAGCAGCCACGGGAACACGGAGGGAGCUAGCGUUGUUCGGAAUUACUGGGCGUAAAGCGCGCGUAGGCGGUUACUCAAGUCAGAGGUGAAAGCCCGGGGCUCAACCCCGGAACUGCCUUUGAAACUAGGUGACUAGAAUCUUGAAGAGGUCAGUGGAAUUCCGAGUGUAGAGGUGAAAUUCGUAGAUAUUCGGAAGAACACCAGUGGCGAAGGCGACUGACUGGACAAGUAUUGACGCUGAGGUGCGAAAGCGUGGGGAGCAAACAGGAUUAGAUACCCGCGUAGUCCCUGUCUCUUAUAC
This 301-nucleotide ribosomal RNA is filed under the name uncultured bacterium. Its description in RNAcentral is "partial 16S ribosomal RNA". It matches the Rfam family "Bacterial small subunit ribosomal RNA", at positions 509 to 807 of the family's 1533-position model. The record is from RNAcentral.